Molecule: ribosomal RNA, 445 nt
Filed under: uncultured bacterium
Lineage: Bacteria
Description: partial 16S ribosomal RNA
Rfam family: Bacterial small subunit ribosomal RNA
Source: RNAcentral
GUGAGGAAUAUUGGUCAAUGGGCGGAAGCCUGAACCAGCCAAGUAGCGUGCAGGACGACGGCCCUAUGGGUUGUAAACUGCUUUUAUACGGGGAUAAAGUGCGCCACGUGUGGAGCAUUGCAGGUACCGUAUGAAUAAGGACCGGCUAAUUCCGUGCCAGCAGCCGCGGUAAUACGGAAGGUCCGGGCGUUAUCCGGAUUUAUUGGGUUUAAAGGGAGCGCAGGCCGGAAGCAAAGCGUGCCGUGAAAUGUAGAUGCUCAACAUCUGAAUUGCGGCGCGAACUGGUUUUCUUGAGUGCAUACGAGGUAGGCGGAAUUUGUGGUGUAGCGGUGAAAUGCUUAGAUAUCACGAAGAACUCCGAUUGCGAAGGCAGCCUACCAGGAUGUAACUGACGCUAAAGCUCGAAAGUGCGGGUAUCGAACAGGAUUAGAUACCCGGGUAGUCC